GACGAACGCUGGCGGCGUGCCUAAUACAUGCAAGUCGAACGAGAGCGCCCGGUGCUUGCACUGGUCAAUCUAGUGGCGAACGGGUGAGUAACACGUGGGUAACCUGCCCAUCAGAGGGGGAUAACAUCCGGAAACGGAUGCUAACACCGCAUAGGUCUUCGCACCGCAUGGUUUGAAGAGGAAAAGAGGCGCAAGCUUCUGCUUAUGGAUGGACCCGCGGUGCAUUAGCUAGUUGGUGAGGUAACGGCUCACCAAGGCCGGGAUGCAUAGCCGACCUGGGAGGGGGAUCGGCCACAUUGGGACUGAGACACGGCCCAAGCUCCUACGGGAGGCAGCAGUAGGGAAUCUUACGCAAUAGGCGCAAGUCUGACGGAGCAACGCCGCGUGGGUGAAGAAGGUUUUCGGAUCGUAAAACUCUGUUGUUGGAGAAGAACGAGUGCUAGAGUAACUGUUAGCGCCUUGACGGUAGCUAACUAGAAAGCCACGGCUAACUACGUG
RNAcentral lists this ribosomal RNA (498 nucleotides) under uncultured bacterium. Its description in RNAcentral is "partial 16S ribosomal RNA". It matches the Rfam family "Bacterial small subunit ribosomal RNA", at positions 28 to 507 of the family's 1533-position model. The record is from RNAcentral.